Molecule: ribosomal RNA, 915 nt
Filed under: uncultured Bacillota bacterium
Lineage: Bacteria; Bacillati; Bacillota
Description: bacterial SSU rRNA
Rfam family: Bacterial small subunit ribosomal RNA
Source: RNAcentral
UGGAUCCAGACUUUGAUUCUGGCUCAGGAUGAACGCUGGCGGCGUGCCUAACACAUGCAAGUCGAGCGAGAAGUCCAGAAAUGAAACUUCGGUAGAUUUUCGGGAUGGAUAGCGGCGGACGGGUGAGUAACGCGUAGGUAACCUGCCUCAUGCAGAGGGAUAGCCUCGGGAAACUGGGAUUAAUACCUCAUAAAGCGGAGAGGACACAUGUCUUUUUCGCCAAAGAUUAAUCGGCAUGAGAUGGACCUGCGUCUGAUUAGUUAGUCGGUGGGGUAACGGCCUACCAAGGCGACGAUCAGUAGCCGACCUGAGAGGGUAAUCGGCCACAUUGGAACUGAGACACGGUCCAAACUCCUACGGGAGGCAGCAGUGGGGAAUAUUGCACAAUGGGCGCAAGCCUGAUGCAGCAACGCCGCGUGAGCGAGGAAGGCCUUCGGGUCGUAAAGCUCUGUCCUAGGGGAAGAAGAAGUGACGGUACCCAAGGAGGAAGCCCCGGCUAACUACGUGCCAGCAGCCGCGGUAAUACGUAGGGGGCGAGCGUUAUCCGGAAUUAUUGGGCGUAAAGAGUACGUAGGUGGUUUUGUAAGAGCGGGGUGAAAGGCAGUGGCUUAACCAUUGUUAGCCUUGCUAACUGCAAGACUUGAGUGCAGGAGAGGGAAGCGGAAUUCCUAGUGUAGCGGUGAAAUGCGUAGAUAUUAGGAGGAACACCAGUGGCGAAGGCGGCUUUCUGGACUGUAACUGACACUGAGGUACGAAAGCGUGGGGAGCAAACAGGAUUAGAUACCCUGGUAGUCCACGCCGUAAACGAUGAGCACUAGGUGUCGGGACCGCAAGGUUUCGGUGCCGGAGUUAACGCAUUAAGUGCUCCGCCUGGGGAGUACGCACGCAAGUGUGCAACUCAAAGGAAUUGACGGA